CACCACGAAUUGAAAAAUUCACCACGAUUUUUAAGUUCACCACAUUCUUAUUUCUUUUUUCUCCUCUCAUCCAUCCCAUCCCUUCUUUUUUUCCUUUAAUUUCUCGACAUACAAAAGCACCCCUCUCCACCCUGCUUUUUUUUUUUUAAGUUCCGUCGUUCUUUUGUCUGUCUGUCUCUCUCUCUCCUUUCUUUCCUUAUUUAUUGCUCUUUCUUUGACCCACACACAACACUCUUUCUAACAACCAAUUUUUAUUAUAUCUAUAGAACAACAACUCCGCCUAUUUAUUCAAAAUUUAAACGAAAAAAGAAUAUGGGAAUUUGCGACAAGGUUUUUUUUACAUAAAAUUUUAUUGCAAAAUUAUCAUCUCUAAAAUUCUCCAAUAUGAUGACAAACAUUUAUUUUUUUUAUAGUUGGCAAUGCUGUUCACUGUUGUAGAGUUUUACAAAAACAAACAACAAGUGAAAAAAACAAAACACAAUGUUCACACACACCUACACGGUUUUUGUAAAAUAAACAUAUGAAAAAAACAAUAAUAAUAACAGAAGAAAAGAAAUAGCGAAACACGAAGAAAAAACAAAAAACACGAAAUAUCUAAAAAUUUUAAAACAUUUUUCUCAUUUGAUAAGUUUGUUUGUUGCUCGAGCGGUCGUUUGUUUGGCUUGUUUUUAAUAAAAUAAAUUUAAGCAAAAAACAAAAAAGUGACUGACUACGAGUAGUGUCUUAAUAAAAAAUUUCAGUGCUGUUAUUUUUAUAUUUUGUUAUUAAAAACAAUUAAUUGUAAAGGAAGAAAAUAACAAUUUUAAAGAAUGGAAAUGUGGACAAGAGAUGUAGCAUGUAGCAACAUAUAAGAAAAAUCGGUAUCCACCUGGUUGUUGUUGUACAGGUUGGCUGUAACUGGAUGUUCUUCCAUAAGGAUAAACUUACGGUUGAUACAGCUGUUGCUGAAUUGGCAAUCUUUGGCCGAUUGAGAAUCGGGUCGUUCCGGCGCGGAAUUCCAAUUGUCGUUGGAACGUAUCCACCUGCUGAUUAAUGCAUUAAAUUAUGCUGCAUAAAGUGCUCCUACUCCACAUUAUCUGCCACAUAGUUUUGGCCACCCUUUUGGAAAAAACCUGAGUAUACCAAAUUUACUCAUUUUACUUGGUAUUUAUCUACUGGACUUUACUUUUUUUCCAUCUCUACAGAUUAGACAUUGCAUUUAUCAAGGACAUACUAAAAAAUAUCUAAAUUAAACCAAAAUCAACAGAUAAGUAAUAGUGGGUUAGAAUAUCUCGAAAUAGAGAGUUUUUUUUCCUCUAUAUUACAGUCGAUUAAUUAGACGACAUAUCAAACUUAAUAAAGAUUUCCUUGCAGUUAAACAGUCUCAAAUUUGGACAUAAAGAAGAUUAAUCUAUUCAUCAUGACAUGAUACUUGGAAAACGUUAGAGAAAUUCUGAGAACAAAUUCGCAUUCGGCAUUGCAUAGUACAAUUUGAUCAUAACUAGAUUCUGAAUACAUAUUCUAAUUUCUAUUUCCUCAAAUCAAAUUUAAUCUAUAUUAUCUAUCAUUCAAUCUAAAAUUAUCUUAAGCAUUUAAAUGCCUAAAUAAACAAAGAAUUAUUAUCUUAAUGUCUUUUGUUUUACCUCAACUGUAAAUAAAUAACUAACUUUGUGUUAAAACAUUUAAAUGUGAUUUUGUUGUUGUUUUAUUAUCUACAUAUUGGCAUUAUGACAAUUUAUUGAUGGUCUAUUAAUAAUUUUGUACAGUUUCUUUUGUAGAUAUUUUCUGUAAAAUUGCAAAUGAAAGAGGGA
RNAcentral lists this long non-coding RNA (1790 nucleotides) under Lucilia cuprina (Australian sheep blowfly). Its description in RNAcentral is "uncharacterized LOC124418690". The record is from RNAcentral. Lineage: Eukaryota; Metazoa; Arthropoda; Insecta; Diptera; Calliphoridae.